UACGUAGGGGGCAAGCGUUGUCCGGAUUUACUGGGCGUAAAGCGCACGUAGGCGGAUCGUUAAGUGAGGGGUGAAAUCCCAGGGCUCAACCCUGGAACUGCCUUUCAUACUGGCGAUCUUGAGUCCGGAAGAGGUGAGUGGAACUCCUAGUGUAGAGGUGGAAUUCGUAGAUAUUAGGAAGAACACCAGUGGCGAAGGCGGCUCACUGGUCCGGUACUGACGCUGAGGUGCGAAAGCGUGGGGAGCAAACAGG
This 253-nucleotide ribosomal RNA is filed under the name uncultured bacterium. RNAcentral's name for it is "partial 16S ribosomal RNA". It matches the Rfam family "Bacterial small subunit ribosomal RNA", at positions 524 to 776 of the family's 1533-position model. The record is from RNAcentral.